GACCGCGUAGCUCAGUUGGCAGAGCAUUGGGCUAGUAUUCCAAAGGUGAAAAGUCGUAGGUUCGAUUCCCACCGUGGCCA
This is a non-coding RNA of Paramuricea clavata, 80 nucleotides long. The record is from the annotation of a GenBank genome assembly. Lineage: Eukaryota; Metazoa; Cnidaria; Anthozoa; Malacalcyonacea; Plexauridae.